RNAcentral lists this transfer RNA (76 nucleotides) under Pseudomonas aeruginosa. Its description in RNAcentral is "tRNA-Arg". The record is from RNAcentral. Lineage: Bacteria; Pseudomonadati; Pseudomonadota; Gammaproteobacteria; Pseudomonadales; Pseudomonadaceae.
GUCCCGGUAGCUCAAUUGGAUAGAGCAUCCCCCUCCUAAGGGGAAGGUUGGAGGUUCUUAUACAGACUCCGGUUUA